AGAGUUUGAUCAUGGCUCAGGACGAACGCUGACGGUGUGCUUUAGGCAUGCAAGUCGAACGAGAAAGCCCUUCGGGGUGAGUAAAGUGGCGAACGGGUGAGUAACACGUGGGCAACCUGCCCCUCGCAGGGGGACAACCGGAGGAAACUCCGGCUAAUACCCCGUAAGCUCUACACGCCGCAUGGCGAGUAGAGGAAAGGUAGCUUCGGCCAUCCGGCGAGGGAUGGGCCCGCGGUGCAUUACGCUAGUUGGUGGGGUAACGGCCCACCAAGGCGACGAUGCGUAGCUGGUCUGAGAGGAUGAUCAGCCACACUGGGACUGAGACACGGCCCAGACUCCUACGGGAGGCAGCAGCCAGGAAUCUUGGGCAAUGGGCGAAAGCCUGACCCAGCAACACCGUGUGGGCGAUGAAGGCCUUCGGGUCGUAAAGCCCUGUUGAUAGGGACGAAGGGCGAAGGGUUAAUAGCCCCUAGCUUGACGGUACCUUUCGAGGAAGCCCCGGCUAACUACGUGCCAGCAGCCGCGGUAAUACGUAGGGGGCGAGCGUUGUCCGGAAUUAUUGGGCGUAAAGAGCGUGUAGGCGGUUCGGUAAGUCUGUCGUGAAAUCCUGGGGCUCAACCCUGGGCGUGCGAUGGAUACUGCCGGGCUAGAGGGUGGUAGAGGCGAGUGGAAUUCCCGGUGUAGCGGUGAAAUGCGCAGAUAUCGGGAGGAACACCAGUAGCGAAGGCGGCUCGCUGGGCCACACCUGACGCUGAGACGCGAAAGCUAGGGGAGCGAACAGGAUUAGAUACCCCGGUAGUCC
Molecule: ribosomal RNA, 802 nt
Filed under: uncultured Rubrobacter sp.
Lineage: Bacteria; Bacillati; Actinomycetota; Rubrobacteria; Rubrobacterales; Rubrobacteraceae
Description: bacterial SSU rRNA
Rfam family: Bacterial small subunit ribosomal RNA
Source: RNAcentral